CAAAAAGAUAAGAAAAUCUUUGGGACCAAGGCAACACCAAAAGCAUGACGCGUAAAAGGAAAAAUUGAUAAAUUGGACCUUACUAAAAUUAAAAAUUUUACUCUGUGAAAGAUCCUGUUAAGAGAAUGAAAGGCUACAGUGAGGGAGAAAAUAUCUGCAAACCACACAAUCAACAAUCUACGUUAGCGAGAAUAUAUACAGAACUAAAUCUCAUCAGUUAAUAAACAAGUCAUGUGACUUGAAAGAGGCAAAAGACAGGAACAGACAUUUCAUCAAAGAAGAUACACAGAUGGGAAAUAAACUCACAAAAAUAUGUUCAUUACUUAUCAGGGAAAUGCAAAUUAAAAGUGACAAUACACAAUCAUUGUGCCCCUAGCAGAAUGGCUAAGAUAAAAAUGGUGAUGGCACCAGUGCUGGAGAAGAUGCUGAGAAACUGGAUCACUCAUAUAUUGCUGCUGGAAUGCAAAGGGGUAAACCUCCUUGGAAUGUACACCGUUUAUAAAGCGUACACCGUUUAUAAAGUAUACGGUAGUGCACAGCAAUGUCCUAGACCUUCACAUUCACUCGCCACUGACUCACUCAGAGCAACUUCCAGUCCCGCAAGCUCUUUCCAUGGUAAAUGCCCUAGGCAGGUGUGCAAUUAAAAAAAAAUCUUUUAUGCCAUAUUUUUACUGUACUUUUUCUACGUUUAUUUAUAUUUAGAUACACAAAUACCAUUGUGUUCCUACAAUAUUCAGUACAGCAACAUGCUGGACAGGUUUGUAGUCUAGGAGCAAUAGACUAUCCUAUAUAGCAUAGGUGUGUAGUAGGCUGUACUAUCUAGGUUUGUGUAACAAUCUCUAUGGUGUUCACACAAUGACAAAAUCACCCAGUGAUGCCUUUCUUAGAAUGUAUUCCUGUCAGCCGGGCACGGUGGCUCAUGCCUGUAAUCCCAGCACUUUGGGAGGCCUAGGCGGGUGUAUCACGAGGUCAGGAGAUCAAGACCAUUUUGGCUAACACGGUGAAACUCCGUCUCUACUAAAAAUACAAAAAAAUUAGCCAGGUGUGGUGUUACGUGCCUGUAGUCCCAGCUAUUUGGAGGCUGAGGCAGGAGAAUCACUUGAACCAGGGAGGCAGAUGUUGCAGUGAGCUGAGAGCAUGCCACUGCACUCCAGCCUGUGUGACAGUGCAAGACUCCAUCUCUCUCUCUCUCUCCCUCUCUCUGUCUCUCUCUCUCUAUAUAUAUAUAUGUGUGUGUGUGUGUGUGUAUAUGUAUCUGUCAUUAAGUGAUACAUGAUUGUACUUGUAUACCAUGAAUUACUGCCAAGAAACACAAAGAAAGAAAUUAUUGAUAUAUGCAACAAUUUGGGUGGAUCUUAAAGGAAUUCUGUUGAGUGAAAAAUGUGAAUUCCAACAGCUUAUGCAUGGCUCCAUUUAUAUAAAAUUCUUGAUAUCAUAGUAUUAUAUUACUGGAGAGUAGAUUGAUGGUUUCCAAGAGUUAAGGACGGCAUUGGAAGGAGAAUGGGUGGGCGGUGGGUGUGGGUAUAAAGAGUCAACAUCAGCACCUUUGUAGCUAUGGAACCGCUUUGUGUCUUGACUGGUGGUGGGCACAUGAAACUACUCAUGUGAUAAAAUCACACAGAACUAAAUAUACACAUGCACACAAAUAACUAAAAGUACAACUGGAGAAUCUGAGUAAGCUUGGUGAAUUGCAUCAACAUCAGUAUCCUUCUUGUGAUAUUGUGCUACAGUUUUGCAAGAUGUUACCACUGGAAGAACUGGGUAAAGGAUCCACGGGAUCGGUCCAUGUUUAUCAAUCUGCCAUGUCUCAAAAUAAAACGGAUUUUAAAAAUACAGCAAAUGAGAAGUAAAUUGGAUAUUUUCACGUGUGUGCUUUAAAUUCUUCAGUGGUCAGCUAUCUACGAAAGUGCAGUUCGGAUCUCCCAGUGAGCAGGCUUGCUGCAGGAAGUGUCGUUGUCUGAUGGCCUCCAGCUGUGGUACCUUCCUGCACUGCUUCAGUUUUCCGGCUGGGACCACCUGCGUUCUAGCAUUGCCUGCCAGUGACUGAGUCCUGGGGUGCUGGGAUGGUGAACCAUUCCUGCCACAACAGGUUCCUCCAUGGGUGAUGUUUGUCCUGACCCCUGGGGGCUGGCCCAGGUUUUCUCAGAGCUGAGCUUCAGUCUGAGGCUCUUUCUACCUCCUCUGCAGCCAGGUGCAUCCUAACUUUGUCACCUACAGGUAGAUUUUUCUCAAUAAAUAGUUUACACUUGAAAUGCUGUCUGGUGCUUGCUUCCUGGAGGACCCCAUGGACACAGAUUGCUCCUAAUUGCUCUCAGGCUGUGCUCACAGACCACCCACAAAAUAUCUAGAAGGCCAUGGUGGCAACCCCUGACUGCUCCAGCUUCUAGAGCCCGGUUUCUUUCUCUAUCGCCUGAACUUUCUCUUGGUCCCUUGUGUUUAAGCCCCUUCCAUGGUUGGGCGUGCACACUCGACACUUCCUUCUCCUGGGAAGCUCUGCUUCUCUCCUGGUGCCUUCUGUUGCUCAUCCACAUGAGCCCAAAUGUCCCUGGGCAGACUCCUCUUUCCUGAUCCCUCAGACCAGACCAAGCUGUCUGCUUUUCUCGUCCACUGGCCGCGGCUUGUCUGUGUAAUUACUGAGUCGCCCAGUGCACCAAAAACCAAGACAUUGUCUGGUUGUUUUGUGGAUUGCUUAGUCCCCGCCACCCAGCCCAGUGUCUGGCACGUGGCCGGGACUUGGUGGUGUUGAUUGAAUGAAUGGACACGUUGAGUUAAGCCGAAGAGGAAGGUACUGCUUUUCUAACCUGUAUUUUCUUAAUUUCACCAAUAAUUUUGUGCAACGCCUUUUAUUUAUGGAAAUCCUUUUAUUUAGGGAAACAUGUAGGGCAUUAGUACCUUUGCAUUUCAUGUCCUUAUACCUUUAUGGGUCUUGUCUAUGCUAUAAAAUGCAGUUCACUCCCAGCAUUACUUGAAGCGCCUCUGUGUUCCCUGGGGUCCACUUACUGCAAUAUCUUCAGUCUGAUGCUGAUUUGCUAAUCAAAGGCUUCACUUCUUCCUGUAACCCUCUCUUGAAAUCAAAAGGGAAAGGUCAUUCCAGAAAGCUGGUUUCUCAUCCUUAACAAACAAUUCUCAUAAAAUGCUAAUUAAGUGAUAAAUCCAGCGGAC
Molecule: long non-coding RNA, 3162 nt
Filed under: Papio anubis (olive baboon)
Lineage: Eukaryota; Metazoa; Chordata; Mammalia; Primates; Cercopithecidae
Description: lncRNA (ENSPANG00000040749.1)
Source: RNAcentral